UUGCCUUUUAAAUGAAGACUGUGGCACGAAUGUUCUCAAGUGUCCUCAAAUGUCCCUUAGCUUUUCUUUGUAAGAUAUGUUGAUUGGUGGACCAUUUUUAUGAGGGUUCAUUCCAAAAUUCCGAUGGACCAGACCUCAUCAUAAAAUGGACUGUCAAUAUGAAAAGAUCUACUGCAAUUCAAAUACAGCAAACAAAUUUUCAAAUAUCAGAAAUACUUGAUUAUUUUAAUUUUAUUUUACCUAUCUCCCUGAUACUUUUGCUGCUCUCUCACACUCUUUACAAAGUUUCCUUGGGGACUGUCUUCUUUACACAUUCUGUUAAACUUUUAUCCAUCAAGUGAACUGACAUAUCAUGGGUUGAGUGAAAUCUUAAUUUAGCUAAAAUGGUUGAUCUAUUCUGUUUUCACAAAUUUAGUUGGUAUUGCUAUACCUAUAUUAGUUGGUAUUUUGAAUAGCUAAAUGUUUAUUUUGUCUUUGGCUGUUGCAGAUUUUGCUUGUUCAGAAAUGAGAAAAUCAGUUAAGCUUUCGGAUCAAAGCAAAGCUGAGAAUAGGGUGUUAGUUGAUGGCAAAUUGAUAACCAGUAGAGGCACAUCCAUGGAGUUCUUGCUUGCGAUUGUUGAGAAGCUAUUUGGCUGUGAGAAGGCAUUGGAUCUUGUUGUCAAUGAGAACUUUAAAUAGACAUAACUAUUAUGUUGGCAUUGUACUUUUGUGAAUGGAUUAAAAUGAAUGAUUGUAUUUGAUUGAUUGAA
This is a long non-coding RNA of Magnolia sinica, 749 nucleotides long. RefSeq lists it as uncharacterized. The record is from RefSeq and is a predicted model, not a curated record. NCBI's taxonomy places the organism in Eukaryota, Viridiplantae, Streptophyta, Magnoliopsida, Magnoliales, Magnoliaceae. The transcript has 2 exons.